RNAcentral lists this non-coding RNA (21 nucleotides) under Caenorhabditis elegans. Lineage: Eukaryota; Metazoa; Nematoda; Chromadorea; Rhabditida; Rhabditidae. The record is from RNAcentral.
UGCAGAUAUAUUUUUAAUGCA